Molecule: long non-coding RNA, 510 nt
Organism: Dendronephthya gigantea
Lineage: Eukaryota; Metazoa; Cnidaria; Anthozoa; Malacalcyonacea; Nephtheidae
Exons: 4
Source: RefSeq, a predicted model, not a curated record
AUAUUCCCGCGGGUUUCGUGGAUUUCGCGUGUAAGCAAUAUGAGCGAAUCUUCCAGAGAUUUAAAAGCAAAGACGGUGAAGUUUUUCGCUUUUAAAACAGAGAAGAAAUCACGUUUGCAAGUAGAGAUCAUCUCUUAACAAAGAUUAAGCAUAGAUGGGUGCAGCGAGGUCAGCACUGAGACGACGUCUGUGUGGCCCGGUGCAGAUGCAAAGACAGAUUGAUAAAGUUUUGGAUGGUCAACCUUUACUGGCACCAAAACAUGAAACAACAAAAGACCUGCUUGAUAGCUAGUGCAAAACAAGAAAACCAAGCCAUAUUUUAUUUACAUACCAAGAGAAGUGAAGAAUAUCUACAGCUCUUGAAACAAAUCCGAGUGGACUCUGUUGACGUUCCUGACAAGAACAACCCUCAGCCUGAAGAUGAAUCCUUGUUGCUGACAACACCUACAACAAGGCUUAGCACUGAGGAGUUGACAUUGUUGUUUCAACAGCAAAUGAAAACCCCCGAUA